GAGUUUGAUCGUGGCUCAGAUUGAACGCUGGCGGCAUGCCUUACACAUGCAAGUCGAACGGCAGCAUGAUCUAGCUUGCUAGAUUGAUGGCGAGUGGCGAACGGGUGAGUAAUACAUCGGAACGUGCCCUGUAGUGGGGGAUAACUAGUCGAAAGAUUAGCUAAUACCGCAUACGACCUGAGGGUGAAAGUGGGGGACCGCAAGGCCUCAUGCUAUAGGAGCGGCCGAUGUCUGAUUAGCUAGUUGUGGGGUAAAGGCCCACCAAGGCGACGAUCAGUAGCUGGUCUGAGAGGACGAUCAGCCACACUGGGACUGAGACACGGCCCAGACUCCUACGGGAGGCAGCAGUGGGGAAUUUUGGACAAUGGGCGAAAGCCUGAUCCAGCAAUGCCGUGUGUGUGAAGAAGG
RNAcentral lists this ribosomal RNA (408 nucleotides) under uncultured microorganism. RNAcentral describes it as "bacterial SSU rRNA". It matches the Rfam family "Bacterial small subunit ribosomal RNA", at positions 9 to 414 of the family's 1533-position model. The record is from RNAcentral.